GAUGAACGCUGGCGGCGUGCCUAAUACAUGCAAGUCGAGCGAACGGACGAGAAGCUUGCUUCUCUGAUGUUAGCGGCGGACGGGUGAGUAACACGUGGAUAACCUACCUAUAAGACUGGGAUAACUUCGGGAAACCGGAGCUAAUACCGGAUAAUAUUUUGAACCGCAUGGUUCAAACGUAAAAGACGGUCUUGGUGUCACUUAUAGAUGGAUCCGCGCUGCAUUAGCUAGUUGGUAAGGUAACGGCUUACCAAGGCAACGAUGCUUAGCCGACCUGAGAGGGUGGUCGGCCACACUGGAACUGAGACACGGUCCAGACUCCUACGGGAGGCAGCAGUAGGGAAUCUUCCGGGAUGGGCGAGAGCCUGACGGAGCAACGCCGCGUGAGUGAUGAAGGUCUUCGGAUCGUAAAACUAUGUUAUUAGGGAAGAACAUAUGUGUAAGUAACUGUGCACAUCUUGACGGUACCUAAUCAGAAAGCCACGGCUAACUACGUG
RNAcentral lists this ribosomal RNA (497 nucleotides) under uncultured bacterium. Its description in RNAcentral is "partial 16S ribosomal RNA". It matches the Rfam family "Bacterial small subunit ribosomal RNA", at positions 28 to 507 of the family's 1533-position model. The record is from RNAcentral.